RNAcentral lists this ribosomal RNA (162 nucleotides) under uncultured bacterium. RNAcentral describes it as "partial 16S ribosomal RNA". It matches the Rfam family "Bacterial small subunit ribosomal RNA", at positions 1342 to 1500 of the family's 1533-position model. The record is from RNAcentral.
UCGCAGGUCAGAAUGCUGCGGUGAAAUACGUUCCCGGGUCUUGUACACACCGCCCGUCACACCAUGGGAGUCGGAAAUGCCCGAAGUCGGUGACCCAACCGUUUAUGGAGGGAGCUGCCGAAGGCAGGUCUGGUGACUGGGGUGAAGUCGUAACAAGGUAGC